Molecule: transfer RNA, 75 nt
Filed under: Deltaproteobacteria bacterium
Lineage: Bacteria; Pseudomonadati; Myxococcota; Myxococcia
Description: tRNA-Thr
Rfam family: tRNA
About the family: Transfer RNA (tRNA) molecules are approximately 80 nucleotides in length. Their secondary structure includes four short double-helical elements and three loops (D, anti-codon, and T loops). Further hydrogen bonds mediate the characteristic L-shaped molecular structure. tRNAs have two regions of fundamental functional importance: the anti-codon, which is responsible for specific mRNA codon recognition, and the 3' end, to which the tRNAs corresponding amino acid is attached (by aminoacyl-tRNA synthetases). tRNAs cope with the degeneracy of the genetic code in two manners: having more than one tRNA (with a specific anti-codon) for a particular amino acid; and 'wobble' base-pairing, i.e. permitting non-standard base-pairing at the 3rd anti-codon position.
Source: RNAcentral
GCUGGCGUAGCUCAAUGGUAGAGCAGCUGAUUUGUAAUCAGCGGGAUGGAGGUUCGAUUCCUCUCAUCGGCUCCA